GAUUCUUUCAGUGUAGUAAGAGUAAAAGGAAAAGAAUAAGUUCAGAGAUUUUUGAAGAGUGAAAAUGAUUUUGGAGCAGCCAUGAGGAGGGAAAUAUACCUAAGAGUAAUAUGGCAGCAUUCUUUUUUAUAUAAGGACCCCUUUACAUAUAACACCAUGUCAGUGAUGGUUGUGUACAUGAACAUCUCAAAUCCUCUAUAGAUUAGAGAAUAUGAAUAUGAUUAAUGUGUUAGUCUACACCAGAAGGUGAUGUCAAUUCAGGAUUAACGAUGCAACAGAUUUAUUUUGGGCUGGGGGAGGUCGUUGGGGGUAAUGCCUGUGUAUUAGUCUGUUUUCACACUGUUCAUAAAGACAUACCUGAGAGUGGGUAAUUUAUAAAGAAAACGAGGUUUAAUUGACUCAUAGUUCCAUGUGGCUGGGAAGCCCUCACAAUCAUGGCAGAAGGCAAAAUGCACAUCUUACUUGGCAGCAGGCAAGAGAGAGAAUGAGAACCAAACAAAAGUGGUUUACCCUUAUAAAACCAUCAUAUCUUGUGAGACUUAUUUACUACCACAAGGACAGGAUGGGAGAAAUCACCCCCAUGAUUCAGUUAUCUCCCACUUUCUCUCUUUUUGUAUUUCAUCUUGGGAAGUUUCUAUUUACAUAUCUUCAAGCUCACUGAACCUUUCUGUGGCUACCUGAUGAGCUCAUUUAAGGAAUUCUUCAUUUCUCUUACAGUGUUUUGGGAUUCUAAAUCUUCCUUGUGACUCUUUCUUAGAAUUACCAUCUUUCUGCUUAUCUGACCCAUAUGUUCUAGCAUGUUGUCUAAUUUACCUACUAGAACUUUAAGAUAUCAAUCAUACUCACUUACAUUUUCCCAUCUGAUAAUUUCAUCAUUCAUGUCAGCCCUGUGUUCAGAGUCUUCAUGUAGCUUGGAGAAUGAUUUCAAGUCUCUUUCUCUGGUUGCUCCUGAGUAGGUGCAGACUAUUAUGUGCAUGUGCCUUUCAGACGCCAGAGUUGUCUGUGAUCUCAAAAAGGCUCUUGUUGGCCUUUAUUCCUGGUUCUUUCUAUUAUGGUUGCUGUGCUAUUUUGCUUCUACAAGAGUACUAGCCUCAUUUUAACUGUUCUCCACCAAGAUAACAGCCCUAGGCAUGGAUGUUAGUCCCUUUAGGUAGAUCUGCAAAGUUCCUUGUCUUUAUGGUCUGCUUUACCUGCUAGGCAGAAUUCCUGCACCACUGCACUAAAGCUCUGGACUUCCUCCCCUCUCUACUUCUAAUAACCACCCACUGCAGGGGAGGGGAAACAGGUCUGCUGUUCUCAGCUUGUUCUUACUAGUGCAGAAUCUUCUGCCUACUAGCCAGUCAGGGUUGAGGUAAAUUGGAGCCCUAAUAUCUUCAGCUAUCCAUACCGGGGUAAGGUUUUUGCCCUUGAGAGGAGGCUGUUUGGGAAGAGAGACCUUGUCUGCUGUUCCUUCCUGCAAUAGAGCUUCCAUAACACAGGGCUUGGUGAGAGUAGGAGAAACACCAGCUACCUACCCACCAUUUUUCAUAGCCCUGGACUGGGAGCAGGGGUGGUGUGAGGUGGGUAGGGUAAUAGGGAUGGGGAGAAGAAUCCCAUUCUUUUUGGUACACAUACCUGAAGUAGAGCUUCCAUCAUGUGGAACUGAUGGGGUCUGUAAUGGAGUAGUGUGUGGCUUAAAUGUCCCAGCCUUUUACUUUUCUUACCCAAGAUUUAAUAAAUUAUCUUGAAGGAAUGAUGUCUCUUUUGCUGUACGUCCUUAUUACAAUUCCAGAGAUGGGAAUGAUUUUUUUAAAAUAAUUUUCAUUAGCUAAAUGUUGUUCUGCUGGGGAGAGGGCCUACUGAGCUCCUUAAGUCAUCAUUCUAAAAGUCCUUUCCCACACAUUUUUAACAGGUGCAGGAGUUUGGUAUGGUAAAUUGGAAGGUGGAGGAACCACAGUAAAUAAUUAGUCUUCACCAUUUGCCAGGAGCCAGAGAAAAAUGCUUUUCAACUUCUUUCCCAGAUAGAUGGUCUGGAGACAUUUUUAUGGUGUGCAGUCAAGUAACCAGUCAUACACAGAGGCAGCCAACUUCUGCAAGUGCUCUGUUUCUUUCCUUGCUUUUCUUCUUUACUUCCUGAUCAAGCACUUACUCUUAAGCCUAUGCCUUAGGUUCUGCUUUCUGGGGAACUCAAACCCAAUUCCAUGCCUUUAAUUAUACUCCUCACUUUAUAAAUAAAUAAGCUUAUUCUGCAGUUCUACAGUUUGUCAAAAACAUAUUUAAAACUUUUUGGGGGGGUGUGGGGACAGAGUCUCAUUAAGUUGCCUAGACUGGAGUGCAGUGGCAUAAUCUUGGUUCACUUCAACCUCUGUCCUCUGGGCUCAAUUAAUCUUCUGCCUCAGUCUCCCGAGUAGCUGGGACUACAGGUGCACAGCACCAGGCCUGGCUAAUAUUCCGUAGUUUUUUGUAGAAAUGGGGUUUUACCAUGUUGCCCAGGCUAACAUUUUAAUCAAACACAUAUGAAAAAAUAUGCUGCAAUUAACAAUACAGUUGUUUCUUGAACAACACAGGUUUUGUGGGCAUUUUUUGUUUGUUUGUUUGUUUUUUUGGUGCUAUUAAUUGUAUUUAUUCCUACAAUCAUUGUACCCAGUCAACUGUGCCAAGCAAUUGCAUUUUUUAAAACUUCAAAACAAUGUCAACAUUCUUCUCUUUCUCAUCAGUGUCAACAUGUUUCCUAUGUUGACACAUAUGCAAUGGGUGCACAUUUCUUUUUAAACAAAAUUCCCAUGAGUCCAGCAAAUAAAUACAUUCGUAUUUUAAAAAUACAUCGGGUGGGAAAGUACUAAUAAAAUAAUCAUGAAUUGCUGGUUUUUGAAAUGUUUAUUUUCUCAGAAAUAUGGGCCACUCACUUUUACUUUCAUCCCAUUUUAACUAGUUCUUAAAGACUGCUUAUUAUGAAAGUUGAUGUGAAGUAAGCUGAGAGUUUUAUAUCCAGUUUUUCAAGUUUAGAAAAUCUAGUAUAAAGAGGACCUGGUAGCUUGAAUGACACAAGUUUGAACUGUGUGAGUGCACUUAUGUGAGAAUGUUCUUCUGCCUCUUGCAUCUCCUUGUCUUCAAGUCGAGUAGGCUGAGGAGGAGGAAGAGCAAGACCAACUCCUCUUCUUCCUCCCCUUCCUCUACUCAACUAGAAGAUGAUGAGGAGAAAGACCUUUAUAAUGAUCCACUUCCACUUAAUGAAUAGUAAAUAUAUUUUUUCUCCCUUAUGACUUUCUUUUUUCUUUUUAAUUAUGCUUUAAGUUCUGGGGUACAUGUGCAGAUCAUGCAGGUUUGUUACAUAGUUAUACACAUGUCAUGGUGGUUUGCUGUAUCCAUCCUCCCAUCAUCUACAUUAGGUAUUUCAUCUAAUAUUAUCCCUCCUCAAUCCUCCCAUCCCUUGCUAUCCCUCCGCUAGCCCUCUUACCCCCAACGGGCCCAAGUGUGUGAUGUUCCCCUCCCUGUGUCCAUGUGUUCUCAUUAUUUAGCAGCCACUUAUGGGUGAGAACAUGUGGUGUUUGGUUUUCUGUUCUUGUUUCAGUUUGCUGAGAAUGAUGUUUACAUUUUCUUUCUCCUAGCUUACUUUAUUGUAAGAAUACAGUAUAUACUCAUAUAACAUAAAAUAUGUAUUAAUUGACUAUUUAUAUUAUCAGUAAGGCUUCUAGCCAACAGUUAGGCUAUUAGUAGGUAGUUUUGGGGGAGUCAAAAUUUAUACAUGGCUUUUUGACUGUAUGCCAUCAGCACCCCUAACCCCUGUGUUGUUCAAGGGCCAGAUGUAUUUCAACUUUCCCAACUCUUUCUGAUUACAAUGGGUUAAACAAGGUACUUCUAAGUGAAAAGAAUAAUAAAUAUAAUUCCUAGGCUGGUGCUGCGGCUCAUACCUGCAACCCCAGCACUUUGGGAGGCCGAGGCAAGCAAUUGCUUGACUUUAGGAGUUUGAGAGCAAUCUGGGCAACAUAGCAAAACCCCAUCUCUACAAAAAUAACAAAAUGUGACUGGGCAUGGUGGCACACACCUGUAAUCCCAGCUACUGGGGAAGCUGAGGCAGGAGAAUCAUCUGAGCCUGGGAGUUUGAAGCUGCAGUGAGCUGCGAUCGUGCCACUGCACUCCAAUCUGGGUGAUGAGUGAGACCCUGUCUCAAAAAACCAAAAAACAAAAGACAAACAACAAAAACACCCCACAAACAAACAAAACCCCCAAACUCCAAAAACAUAAUUAUUAUCAUUUGUGAAGUUUUGGUAAGUUUCUUUUGAAUUAAAUGAGUAAUAACUAGGCAUAAUCAUUGGCAAGCAAAACUUCUGAUUGAUUGAUUGAUUUCUUUUUUUUUUUUUUUUUUGAUAGUCUCACUCUGUCACCCAUGCUGGACAAAGUAGCACAAUCUUGGCUCACUUCAACCUCUGCCUCCGGGGUUCAGGCAAUUGUCCUGCCUCAGCCUCCUAGGUAGCGGGAUUACAGGCAUGCACCACCAAGCCUGGCUAAUUAUUGUAUGUGUGUGUAUAUAUAUAUAUAUAUAUAUAUAUUUUUUUUUUUUUUUUUUAGUAGAGAUGGGGUUUGACUAUUUUGACCAGGUUGAUCUUGAACUCCUGACUUUAAGCGAUCCAUCCACCUUGGCCUCCCAAAGGGCUGGGAUUACAGGCGUGAGUCUGGCCUGGUUAUGAUUGUGUUCUAAUUCUUAGUGUUACAAGGGCCUAAUCAAAACAAUAAUUUUGAAUAGUGAGACAUGAUAUGAUUUUUAGCAUGUAACUCUGAGGGAGUUUAGAGAAUUAAGUAAUAUAAUAUUAGGUCCUAUGCCAGACCUUGAAUCAGAAUCUGUAUUUUAAAAAGAUCUCUAGGUGAUUUUUAU
This 4852-nucleotide long non-coding RNA is filed under the name Callithrix jacchus (white-tufted-ear marmoset). RNAcentral's name for it is "lncRNA (ENSCJAG00000081933.1)". The record is from RNAcentral. Lineage: Eukaryota; Metazoa; Chordata; Mammalia; Primates; Cebidae.